GCAUUCUACCAGCACAUGCUCUUAACAUACACCUAUAAUGUAACCUACUCCGAUAAUGUAACAUACUCCUACAAUGUAACCUAUCCCUAUAAUGUAACAUACUCCUAUAAUAUAACCUACUCCUAUAAUGUAACUUACCCCUAUAAUGUAGCCUACUCCUAUAAUGUAACCUACUCCUAUAAUGUAACUUACCCCUACAAUGUAACUUACUCUUAUAAUGUAACAUACUCUUAUAAUAUAACCUCCUCCUAUAAUGUAACCUAUCCCUAUAAUGUAACAUACUCCUAUAAUAUAACCUACUCCUAUAAUGUAACUUACCCCAUAAUGUAACCCACUCCUACAGUGUAACACUCCUAUAAUGUAACAUAUUCCUACAAUGUAACCUACUCCUAUAAUCUAACUUACCCUUAUAAUGUCACAUACUCCUACAACGUAACCUACUCCUAUAAUGUAACCUACUCCUACAAUGUAACACUCCUGUAAUGUAACAUACUCCUAUAAUAUAACUUACCCUUAUAAUGUAACCUACUCCUACAAUGUAAGAUACUCCUAUAAUGUAACCUACCCCUAUAAUGUAACAUACUCCUACAAUAUAACCUAUUCCUAUAAUGUAACUUACCCCUGUAAUGUAACAUACUCCUACAAUGUAACCCACUCCUAUAAUGUAACAUACUCCUAUAAUGUAACUUACCCCUAUAAUGUAACAUACUCCUACAAUGUAACCCACUCCUAUAAUGUAACAUACUCCUAUAAUGUAACUUACCCCUAUAAUGUAACAUACUCCUACAAUGUAACCUACUCUUAUAAUGUAACCUAUCCCUAUAAUGUAACAUACUCCUAUAAUAUAACAUACUCCUACAAUGUAACCUACUCCUAUAAUGUAACCUAUCCCUAUAAUGCAACAUACUCCUAUAAUAUAACCUACUCCUUUAAUGUAACUUACCCCUAUAAUGUAGCCUACUCUUCUAAUGUAACAUACUCCUGUAAUAUAACCUACUCCUAUAAUGUAACAUACUCCUACAAUGUAACAUACUCCUAUAAUAUAACCUACUCCUAUAAUGUAACUUACCCCUACAAUGUAACCUACUCUUCUAAUGUAACAUACUCCUAUAAUAUAACCUACUCCUAUAAUGUAACGUACCCCUACAAUGUAACAUACUCCUACAAUGUAACAUACUCCUACAAUGUAACAUACUCCUAUAAUAUAACCUACUCCUGUAAUGUAACCUACUCCUAUAAAGUAACAUUUGCCUAGAAUGUAACCUACUCCUAUAAUCUAACAUACUCCUAAAAGUAACAUAUGCCUAUAAUGUAACCUACCCCUAUAAUGUAACAUAAUCCUAUAAUGUAACUUACUCCUAUAAUGUAGCAUACUCCUAUAAUGUAACCUACUCCUUUAAUGUAACCUACUCCUUUAAUGUAACAUACCCCAAUAAUGUAACCUACUCCUAUAAUGUAACCUACUCCUAUAAUGUACGUACUUCUAUAAUGUAACCUACUCCUUUACUGUAACCCACUCCUUUAAUGUAACCUACUCCUGUAAUGUAACCUACUCCUGUAAUAUAACCUACUCCUAUAAUGUAACCUACUCCUUUACUGUAACCCACUCCUUUAAUGUAACCUACUCCUAUAAUGUAACACACUCCUGUAAUAUAACCUACUCCUGUAAUGUAACCUACUCCUGUAAUAUAACCUACUCCUAUAAUGUAACCUACUCCUUUACUGUAACCCACUCCUUUAAUGUAACCUACUCCUAUAAUGUACCAUACUCCUGUAAUAUAACCUACUCCUAUAAUGUAACCUACUCCUAUAAUGUAACCUACUCCCUUAUUGUAACCCACUCCUUUAAUGUAACCUACUCCUAUAAUGUAACCUACUCCUAUAAUGUAACCUACUCCUAUGAUGUAACCUACUUCUAUGAUGUAACCAACUCCUAUAAUGUAACGUACUUCUAUAAUGUAACCUACUCCUUUACUGUAACCCACUCCUUUAAUGUAACCUACUCCUAUAAUGUAACCUACUCCUGUAAUGUAACCUACUCCUGUAAUAUAAUCUACUCCUAUAAUGUAACCUACUCCUAUAAUGUAACCUACUCCUAUGAUGUAACCUACUUCUAUAAUGUAACCUACUCCUUUACUGUAACCCACUCCUUUAAUGUAACCUACUCCUGUAAUGUAACCUACUCCUGUAAUAUAAUCUACUCCUAUAAUGUAACCUACUCCUAUAAUGUAACCUACUCCUAUGAUGUAACCUACUUCUAUAAUGUAACCUACUCCUUUACUGUAACCCACUUCUUUAAUGUAACCUACUCCUAUUAUGUAGCCUACUCCUUUAAUAUAACCUACCCAAUAAUAUAUGAGUGGCAGUAUCCACACUGUUAAAACUGUGAGGAUAUAAAGGUUCUAAUCAAUGUCAAAAUAUUUUAAAGAAGCAAAGCAGCUGUAUCUGUCUCAGCAUUCACUAGUUGUGGAUUCACUGCACAUCCUCCGGUGUGGCACCCUCUGCUGGAUGUGGAAUAUAGAAUCCUGAAACAUCCUUCACCCAUCACACAAAAAAACAUCAGUCAGGACUUGAGGUUUUUAAUCUAUCUCAUCUAAUCAUCGAAGCUCUGACUGAAACAUUUACUAAAACAAUUCAUUCAUUUCUCAGUAUCUGAAGGACAGAGAAACAUGGACUUAAAACCAUUUGAGAGCUUAAACAUUUGUCUUGUAUUGUAAUUUCCUUAAUGUUCACACUUCAUAAAAAAGAAGCGGUCCAUGUGUGACCCAGAUAAGCCUUGUGUUUAUAACUGUUUCUGUAGUUUCAGUUUUGACAUGUAAUUGUAGCAGGAAGAGAGGGAAACCAUGUUAAACAGUCAUUUCUUACAAGGUGUUGUGUGAAACAUGACGCAUAAUUCUGUCGUAUGUUUUAAGUAAGUACGUUUGCUCAUUCUCAUAAGUGUCUGAAGCAGGGUUAUUGUUACUGAAAACUAAGACUAGAGCGACAGAAGCAU
This is a long non-coding RNA of Sphaeramia orbicularis (orbiculate cardinalfish), 2992 nucleotides long. RefSeq lists it as uncharacterized. The transcript is spliced from 2 exons. The record is from RefSeq and is a predicted model, not a curated record. NCBI's taxonomy places the organism in Eukaryota, Metazoa, Chordata, Actinopteri, Kurtiformes, Apogonidae.